CUUCGCUUCUGCUUUGCUUCCUUUCAUACUCAUCUGCAAAAUAUUACACAUACACUCUCUCUCUCACACACACAUGAAAGAUGGAACAAGAGAAGAAGAAGUGAAAGUAGACAUCGGACGAGAAGUAAAGGACCCUUAAAACAAAAGUGGGGAAGGAUCUUAGCUGCCUAAGUUAUUGGACCACAAAGUUUCACUCUUUUCUUCUUUCUCUUCAUGUAUUAAGAUGAUAAGGUCGUUCACGUUAGCCGUCGGGGCCACGAAGCCAGAAAUACAUAUAUAAGAGAAUGGUCCACACUUGCAAUGUAUUCACUUUUCAACUGGUAAUAUGUAAAACGAAGACAUAUAAGCAAAAUCUAAGUAUCAAAACAACACCUUUGUUUAGUUUAGUUUAGUUUUGGUUUCAUGGUUUGAAAUCAACUGUGAUACAAAAUGGUGAUACAAACUUAUCCUUUUUGAAUGAUUAGUGUUCGUGCCAUUAUUUUUCUUUCA
This is a long non-coding RNA of Brassica napus (rape), 489 nucleotides long. RefSeq lists it as uncharacterized. Lineage: Eukaryota; Viridiplantae; Streptophyta; Magnoliopsida; Brassicales; Brassicaceae. The transcript is spliced from 2 exons. The record is from RefSeq and is a predicted model, not a curated record.